CCUACGGGAGGCAGCAGUGGGGGAUAUUGCACAAUGGGGGGAACCCUGAUGCAGCGACGCCGCGUGGGUGAAGAAGCGCCUCGGCGCGUAAAGCCCUUUCAGCAGGGAAGAAAAUGACGGUACCUGAAGAAGAAGCCCCGGCUAACGACGUGCCAGCAGCCGCGGUAAUACGUAGGGGGCAAGCGUUAUCCGGAUUUACUGGGUGUAAAGGGGGCGCAGACGGCGAUGCAAGCGAGGAGUGAAAGCCCGGGGGCCAACCCCGGGAGUGCUCUUGGAACUGCGUGGCUGGAGUGCAGGAGGGGCAGGCGGAAUGCCUGGUGUAGCGGUGAAAUGCGUAGAUAUCAGGAGGAACACCGGUGGCGAAGGCGGCCUGCUGGACUGCAACUGACGUUGAGGCCCGAAAGCGUGGGGAGCAAACAGGAUUAGAUACCCCAGUAGUC
This 440-nucleotide ribosomal RNA is filed under the name uncultured bacterium. RNAcentral's name for it is "partial 16S ribosomal RNA". It matches the Rfam family "Bacterial small subunit ribosomal RNA", at positions 338 to 795 of the family's 1533-position model. The record is from RNAcentral.